This 497-nucleotide ribosomal RNA is filed under the name uncultured bacterium. RNAcentral describes it as "bacterial SSU rRNA". It matches the Rfam family "Bacterial small subunit ribosomal RNA", at positions 30 to 524 of the family's 1533-position model. The record is from RNAcentral.
AUUGAACGCUGGCGGUAUGCUUAACACAUGCAAGUCGAACGGUAACAGGCCUUCGGGCGCUGACGAGUGGCGGACGGUGAGUAACGCGUAGGAAUCUGCCUCAUAGUGGGGGACAACGUGGGGAAACUCACGCUAAUACCGCAUACGCCCUACGGGGGAAAGCGGGGGAUCUUCGGACCUCGCGCUAUGAGAUGAGCCUGCGUUAGAUUAGCUAGUUGGUAGGGUAAAGGCCUACCAAGGCGACGAUCUAUAGCUGGUCUGAGAGGACGAUCAGCCACACUGGGACUGAGACACGGCCCAGACUCCUACGGGAGGCAGCAGUGGGGAAUAUUGGACAAUGGGCGCAAGCCUGAUCCAGCAAUACCGCGUGUGUGAAGAAGGCCUUAGGGUGUAAAGCACUUUUGUCCGGAAAGAAAUCGCGCUGGUUAAUACCUGGCGUGGAUGACGGUACCGGAAGAAUAAGCACCGGCUAACUACGUGCCAGCAGCCACGGUAAU